This 274-nucleotide ribosomal RNA is filed under the name uncultured bacterium. Its description in RNAcentral is "partial 16S ribosomal RNA". It matches the Rfam family "Bacterial small subunit ribosomal RNA", at positions 523 to 796 of the family's 1533-position model. The record is from RNAcentral.
AUACGGAGGGUGCAAGCGUUAUUCGGAAUCACUGGGCGUAAAGGACGCGUAGGCGGGUUGGCAAGUCAGAUGUGAAAUCCUACAGCUUAACUGUAGAACUGCAUUUGAAACUGCUAACCUAGAGUGUGGGAGGGGGAGAUGGAAUUAGUGGUGUAGGGGUAAAAUCCGUAGAUAUCACUAGGAAUACCGAAAGCGAAGGCGAUCUCCUGGAACAUAGCUGACGCUAAGGCGUGAAAGCGUGGGGAGCAAACAGGAUUAGAAACCCUAGUAGUCC